Molecule: transfer RNA, 75 nt
Filed under: Thermomonospora echinospora
Lineage: Bacteria; Bacillati; Actinomycetota; Actinomycetes; Streptosporangiales; Thermomonosporaceae
Description: Actinomadura echinospora tRNA_Val_TAC
Rfam family: tRNA
About the family: Transfer RNA (tRNA) molecules are approximately 80 nucleotides in length. Their secondary structure includes four short double-helical elements and three loops (D, anti-codon, and T loops).
Source: RNAcentral
GCUCGUGUAGCUCAGAGGGAGAGCGGCUCCCUUACAAGCAGCGGGCCGCUGGUUCGAAUCCAGCCGCGAGCACCA